CAGAGAGAAGCUUGCUUCUCUGCUGACGAGCGGCGGACGGGUGAGUAAUGCUUGGGUAUCUGCCUUGUGGUGGGGGACAACAGUUGGAAACGACUGCUAAUACCGCAUAAUCUCUACGGAGCAAAGUGGGGGACCUUCGGGCCUCACGCCACAAGAUGAACCCAAGUGGGAUUAGCUAGUUGGUAAGGUAACGGCUUACCAAGGCGACGAUCCCUAGCUGGUCUGAGAGGAUGACCAGCCACACUGGAACUGAGACACGGUCCAGACUCCUACGGGAGGCAGCAGUGGGGAAUAUUGCACAAUGGGCGCAAGCCUGAUGCAGCCAUGCCGCGUGUGUGAAGAAGGCCUUCGGGUUGUAAAGCACUUUCAGUCGUGAGGAAAGGUAACGUGUUAAUAGCACGUUGCUGUGACGUUAGCGACAGAAGAAGCACCGGCUAACUCCGUGCCAGCAGCCGCGGUAAUACGGAGGGUGCGAGCGUUAAUCGGAAUUACUGGGCGUAAAGCGCGUGUAGGUGGCUUGUUAAGCCAGAUGUGAAAGCCCCGGGCUCAACCUGGGAACUGCAUUUGGAACUGGCAGGCUAGAGUUUUGUAGAGGGUGGUAGAAUUUCAGGUGUAGCGGUGAAAUGCGUAGAGAUCUGAAGGAAUACCGGUGGCGAAGGCGACCACCUGGCCAAUAACUGACACUGAGACGCGAAGGCGUGGGUAGCAAACGGGAUUAGAUACCCCGGUAGUCCACGCAGUAAACGAUGUCUAUUAGGAGUUUGUGGCUAUAUGCCGUGGGCUCCAAAGCUAACGCAUUAAAUAGACCGCCUGGGGAGUACGGCCGCAAGGUUAAAACUCAAAUGAAUUGACGGGGGCCCGCACAAGCGGUGGANCAUGUGGUUUAAUUCGAUGCAACGCGAAGAACCUUACCUACUCUUGAC
Molecule: ribosomal RNA, 923 nt
Filed under: Motilimonas cestriensis
Lineage: Bacteria; Pseudomonadati; Pseudomonadota; Gammaproteobacteria; Alteromonadales
Description: 16S ribosomal RNA
Rfam family: Bacterial small subunit ribosomal RNA
Source: RNAcentral